This 1138-nucleotide small RNA is filed under the name Pyricularia oryzae. RNAcentral's name for it is "Magnaporthe oryzae sRNA M_BR32_EuGene_00124561". The record is from RNAcentral. Lineage: Eukaryota; Fungi; Ascomycota; Sordariomycetes; Magnaporthales; Pyriculariaceae.
UUUACUUUAUAGGAUAGGGAUGUUGAAUUUCAAUACAUAAAUCCGGACCUUGUUUCCGCAUUUGCCAUAAGUUGCAACCUGGGAUUAAACUUGUAAUUUGCAAUAGCUACAUGCGAGAUUCAAGACCAAGUUGCGAUGUUUGGACUUUGAUAAUAGUUUCGCAGAAGUGCAGAGUUUAGGGGCUAAUUUCAAGCUUCCCGUCUACAAAAUGUGAAUAAAACUCUCUACUGUUUGCACUUUAUUCAAAAUUAUACUGUUUCUUAAUUUUAUUGAUUAAAUUGUGGUUUGAGAAUUAUAACUGUUUAUUUUAUAACGUUAAAAUGCCGGGCCGACCCUGGCGCUAGUUAUUAUUAUUAUUAUUGUCCCGUUUUUAGUAAUUUACAUGGAGCAGGCGUAUAUUAUACAAGCGCAAGUUACCCUGUCCCAACUACGGGUACAAGGAGGAUAAUUGUUUAGAAACUCGAGUUUCAAUAGUCUUAUAAAAUUUGCGCAAAUAUACCAUUUCCCCCUUACCUACGUUUUAUUAAUCGAUCGAUUUACGAAAAGUUUGUUAAUAUAGUAAAUGUAAGUAAGUUAAACGAUAAGAGUAAAUACGGCGCCGGGUUUAUAAGUAAUAUAUAAGUUAAUAUAAAUAUGAAUUUAUUAAAUUAAUUGGAAUAUAAAUAAGGUGAGUUUACUAGAUAUAAAAGUUAUACUAUAAAUAUAAGAUUACCAAUAUUAAACCAUGUAAUAUUAUAAAGUUUAGUAGUAAAAAUAAUAAAAACUAUUUUUUGCCGAAUAAAUAUAUUUUUAAAAAGAAGAUUAAUUUUGUAAAUUUAAAUAUUAAUACCCUUUAUAUUUAAUUAUACUAGAUAUAUUAUAGAUAUAAUCCUCUUUUAUAAUAAAAAACCGGGUAUUAUUCAAGACACCACUAUACUUAUAGAAUAAAUUAAAACCAGCUUUAAAAUAAUAUGAAAUUUAACCAUUUUGGAAAAAUAUACUUAGUUAAAGUUUUACUUCAAUUAAUAAUGCCAUGCCCGCUUAAAAUAAAAGUUGAAAUAAGACUUUAAUAAGACUAUCCCUAGUAUUUAUAAUAUAAAUAAAACAGACAAUUAUAUUUAUAAUAUGUAUUAAUACGACGUGGCUGAAAAAUAUAUAA